RNAcentral lists this ribosomal RNA (551 nucleotides) under Cyllene owenii. RNAcentral's name for it is "partial 12S ribosomal RNA". The record is from RNAcentral. Lineage: Eukaryota; Metazoa; Mollusca; Gastropoda; Neogastropoda; Nassariidae.
CGCGGUUACACCAAGAGAUUGAGUUAUAUUUUUAGGUAAAAAGAUAGUUAGGCUUAAAUAUUUAUAGUUCACAACUGACCAUUUAUAAGAAGGUAAAAUUUGUAUAUAAAUAGCUAAUCUUAUAUUGACUUUUAUGCUGAAGCUAUGAUAAUUCUGAGGGAAACUGGGAUUAGAUACCCCACUAUUCUUAAUUGUAAAUCUAAUUAAAUUUACCAGAGUACUAUGAAUUUAUUAUAAAAAUUUAAAACUCAAAGGGCUUGGCGGUGUUUUAGACCUAUCAGGGGAACCUGUCUCAUAAUCGACAAUCCACGUGAUACCUAACCUAAUUUAGUAAGCAGUUUGUAUACCGUCGUCGUCAGGUAACUUUUAAAAAAUUAUAAGUUAGCAAAAAACCUAUAAGGUAAAACGUCAGAUCAAGGUGCAGCUUAUAAUAAGGAGAGGAUGGGUUACAAUUAUUUAAUUUAUAAUUACGGAAAAUUAUUCGAAAAUAUAAUUUGAAGGAGGACUUGAAAGUAUAAAUACUUUAUAUAAAUAACUUGAAUAUGGCUCUG